This 253-nucleotide ribosomal RNA is filed under the name uncultured bacterium. RNAcentral describes it as "partial 16S ribosomal RNA". It matches the Rfam family "Bacterial small subunit ribosomal RNA", at positions 524 to 776 of the family's 1533-position model. The record is from RNAcentral.
UACGGGGGGGGCAAGCGUUGUUCGGAAUUACUGGGCGUAAAGGGUUCGUAGGUGGCCAACUAAGUCGGACGUGAAAUCCCUCAGCUUAACUGGGGAACUGCGUCUGAUACUGGUUGGCUUGAGUGCAGGAGAGGAACGCGGAAUUCCAGGUGUAGCGGUGAAAUGCGUAGAUAUCUGGAGGAACACCAGUAGCGAAGGCGGCUCGCUGGGCCGUUCCUGACGCUGAGACGCGAAAGCUAGGGGAGCGAACAGG